AUACCUUUCUCGGCCUUUUGGCUAAGAUCAAGUGUAGUAUCUGUUCUUAUCAGUUUAAUAUCUGAUACGUGGGCCAUCGGCCCACAUGAUAUUAAAUUUAUUUUUUUAGGGGGAGGGCCCACCACAGUAGCUUGCUACUGAGGCUUUCACGCGUCGCCCAAGCGUUGCACUACAGCUCGGGCCUGGCGCACCCCAC
RNAcentral lists this small nuclear RNA (196 nucleotides) under Corchorus olitorius. RNAcentral's name for it is "U2 spliceosomal RNA". It matches the Rfam family "U2 spliceosomal RNA". From Rfam's summary of the family: U2 is a small nuclear RNA (snRNA) component of the spliceosome (involved in pre-mRNA splicing). Lineage: Eukaryota; Viridiplantae; Streptophyta; Magnoliopsida; Malvales; Malvaceae. The record is from Rfam by way of RNAcentral.